UUUACAGAUUGACUUUGCAGAUCAACGGAAUAACAACUUCGCGGUUGCGCAUUGUGAAUAUCAAAUGUAUCCGUGCGAUGAUAUCUAUGCGUAUUAUCUUUGUUCUUAUGUAAGUAAGCUUCGAGAAUACUUAUAUCGUACGUAUUUACGUACCGUAUAAAAUGUUGCACGAUAAUAAUCAACAGGAUUUUUGCAAGUAAAUUACAUUUCCAUACUGAGAGGAGGAUGAGGCGUAGGACGGGCAUCGGACAUCGAUGGAGCAACUUUAAGAUAACAACAAUAAAGUACGCGUCGAAAGUGCCGCAUAAAAUAUCGUGACAUAAUAAUUAAUCAAAUUUUCGUGACUGAAUCGUGUUAUACUGAAAGAAGGAGCAGGCUCAAGAUGGGCAUCGGGCAUCGGUAGAUAAAC
This is a non-coding RNA of Linepithema humile (Argentine ant), 409 nucleotides long. NCBI's taxonomy places the organism in Eukaryota, Metazoa, Arthropoda, Insecta, Hymenoptera, Formicidae. The record is from RefSeq and is a predicted model, not a curated record.